AUUGAACGCUAGCGGGAUGCUUUACACAUGCAAGUCGAACGGAGUGGCGGACGGGUGAGUAAUAUAUCGGAACGUGCCCAGUAGCGGGGGAUAACUACUCGACAGAGUGGCUAAUACCGCAUACUCUUGGAGCGGCCGAUAGCGGAUUAGCUAAUUGGUGGGGUAACGGCUCCCCAAGGCAACGAUCCGUAGCUGGUUUGAGAGGAGGACAAGCCACACUGGGAAUGAGACACGGCCCAGACUCCUACGGGAGGCAGCAGUGGGGAAUAUUGGACAAUGGGGGAAACCCUGAUCCAGCCAUCCCGCGUGUAUGAUGAAGGCCUUAGGGUUGUAAAGUACUUUUGGCAGAGAAGCGGUAUCUGCAGAAUAAGUACCGGCUAACUACGUGCCAGCAGCCGCGGUAAUAC
Molecule: ribosomal RNA, 407 nt
Filed under: uncultured bacterium
Lineage: Bacteria
Description: partial 16S ribosomal RNA
Rfam family: Bacterial small subunit ribosomal RNA
Source: RNAcentral